Molecule: ribosomal RNA, 274 nt
Filed under: uncultured bacterium
Lineage: Bacteria
Description: partial 16S ribosomal RNA
Rfam family: Bacterial small subunit ribosomal RNA
Source: RNAcentral
AUACGGAGGGUGCAAGCGUUACUCGGAAUCACUGGGCGUAAAGCGCGCGCAGGCGGCUUGAUAAGUUGGAUGUGAAAGCCUACGGCUCAACCGUAGAACUGCAUCCAAAACUGUCAAGCUAGAGUCUGGGAGGGGAAGAUGGAAUUAGUUGUGUAGGGGUAAAAUCCGUAGAGAUAACUAGGAAUACCAAAAGCGAAGGCGAUCUUCUGGAACAGUACUGACGCUGAGGCGCGGAAGCGUGGGGAGCAAACAGGAUUAGAAACCCCAGUAGUCC